This 460-nucleotide ribosomal RNA is filed under the name uncultured bacterium. RNAcentral's name for it is "partial 16S ribosomal RNA". It matches the Rfam family "Bacterial small subunit ribosomal RNA", at positions 338 to 795 of the family's 1533-position model. The record is from RNAcentral.
CCUACGGGAGGCAGCAGUGAGGAAUAUUGGUCAAUGGGCUUACGCCUGAACCAGCCAAGUCGCGUGAGGGAAGACUGCCCUAUGGGUUGUAAACCUCUUUUGUCAGGGAGCAACGCCGGCUACGUGUAGCCGGACUGAGAGUACCUGAAGAAAAAGCAUCGGCUAACUCCGUGCCAGCAGCCGCGGUAAUACGUAGGGGGCAAGCGUUAUCCGGAUUUACUGGGUGUAAAGGGGGCGCAGACGGCAGCGCAAGCCAGGGGUGAAAGCCCGGGGCCCAACCCCGGGACUGCUCUUGGAACUGCGCGGCUGGAGUGCAGGAGGGGCAGGCGGAAUUCCUGGUGUAGCGGUGAAAUGCGUAGAUAUCAGGAGGAACACCGGUGGCGAAGGCGGCCUGCUGGACUGCGACUGACGUUGAGGCCCGAAAGCGUGGGGAGCAAACAGGAUUAGAUACCCUGUAGUC